ACGGUAGACAAAUAUGUUGGCAGGUGUUUGGACGUGGGUUCGACUCCCACCAGCUCCAUCAAUGCUUACCGU
Molecule: transfer RNA, 72 nt
Filed under: Streptococcus pyogenes
Lineage: Bacteria; Bacillati; Bacillota; Bacilli; Lactobacillales; Streptococcaceae
Description: Ser-tRNA
Rfam family: transfer-messenger RNA (bases 1-61)
About the family: Bacterial tmRNA, also known as 10Sa RNA or SsrA, is named for its dual tRNA and mRNA-like properties. Its role is to liberate the mRNA from a stalled ribosome.
Source: RNAcentral